Long non-coding RNA from Vidua chalybeata, 379 nucleotides. RefSeq lists it as uncharacterized. The transcript is spliced from 3 exons. NCBI's taxonomy places the organism in Eukaryota, Metazoa, Chordata, Aves, Passeriformes, Viduidae. The record is from RefSeq and is a predicted model, not a curated record.
AGAGAGAGCAGCAACUGAAGGCACCAAACUUCAGGGUCACUCAGGUGAUGGGAAGUGACUGUGCUCUGCUAUAUUCACCUCUCUGUAGACUUGGCAGAGAAAAACUGCCCUUCCAUUGGAAUGGUUUCAAGGAUUACAAUUAAGGAAACAUUCAAAACACCCCAUCUGAUCAUGAAAGAAGCCACAGAGAAAGGGACUGUCUAUGACACAUUUCAGGAAAGAAUUUCCCCCAGAAAUGCGUGACAAAAGUGGAUCACUGCAGAAAAUGUCAUCUACAAACAAGCUGAGAAUUUUUCCUCCUCUGGGAGGAGCAAAGGAGGGAGUCACAGUAAAGGUAUAAAACUAUUUACUUUUGUAACCCCGUGUCCUAAAAAAUAAA